This is a long non-coding RNA of Symphalangus syndactylus (siamang), 2682 nucleotides long. RefSeq lists it as uncharacterized. The record is from RefSeq and is a predicted model, not a curated record. Lineage: Eukaryota; Metazoa; Chordata; Mammalia; Primates; Hylobatidae.
UUUGUGCAACAGAGUGAAGGGCUGAGGCCCCAUGGUUUCCAGGCAGCCUGUGCCAGUGAGAGAAAUGCAGAAUAGAGUUUGAUUUGAACUCUGGCUCUGUCAACGACUUGGUACUAUGGCCUUGUGCAACCAAGUUAAUGUCUCCAAGCCUUACUUUUAUCCUUUGUAAAAUGGGACGAUGAUACCCCUCUCUUGCAUGUGUGAAAUAACUAACACAUAGUCUGUGCUUCAGAAGUGAAGUCACUGCUACUCAGAGAACACAGAAGAAGAAGCAGUUUACAGAGAAAGAUGAGUUUCAUUUUAGAAGCACUGCGCUUGAGGUGACUGGGACAGCCACGUGGAGGUGUCCGGUAAGGCAUUAGAUAUAUAGGUGUGGAACUCAGGAGAAAGAUCUGGGCUGGAGAGAGUUCUAGGGGCCACUGACUUUUUGAAAUUAGGCCAAGGCAAGGAGGUAUAUAAGAACAACCAGAGAGAGGUGGAGAGGGAGAGAAAUGCAGACCCUAACGGACGGCCUUGGGAGCGUCACCAUUCGACAGCUGAGGAAAGGAAGGAGAGCCGGCAAGGGAGAUGUUCUGGAGCCUGCAGGGCUGUGCGGUCAGAAGGAGGUGCAAACCAGAGUCUGAAGACGCAGGUUUGAGUUUCAGCUCCCUUGCUGACUAGCUGUGUGAUCCUCGCAAUUCAGGAUAGCACAUGUGGCUUUCCUGCAAUGGGAUCGUCCUUCAAGAGGACCUCACAGGCUCUCCACCCGGACAGUGAUGCAGAAGCAGAUCGGCUCACGCUAAUGGGCAGUGUACCAGGAGCUUUGUGCCUAGGGACAACUUUCACCUUCAAAAUGCCCUGCGGGCUGCCUCAGCUUCUUCUCCACCAGCCCCUGGGCUCCCAGCUCUCUCAGGAGGCAGUGUUUUGCUGGAGAAAGAAUCUCAGUCAUCUGGACUGCUUUGUGCGAUAUGAAAAUCUCUGAGAACCUUCAAGAGCCCAAGAAACAGUUCUCCUUCAAGCUGUAUGCCAUGGUCAGCGGUUAAAGAGAACAUUCUGUUCCACUCCUCCAGCUCUGCCUUAGAAACCCAAGCCCUGCACUCCUAGGCUCCUGGCAUCAUACACUAGCACCAGCAAUUUUUUGCCAAAAGCAUCAGCCAAAAUCUAUUCUAUUUCAGUUCCUCUCUUUUCGUCGGAUUGUAUUUUUACAGGUGAUUGCUGAUUCUCACACUGCUCUUCAGAUUCAUGUACAGCUGUGGUCUGAACGUGUGUGUUUUCUCAAAAUUCAAGUUUAAAACUUAAUCCUCAAUGUGAUAGUAUCAACAGCUGUGGCCUUUUGGAAAGUGAAGGUGGAGCCCUUGUGAGUGGGAUUAGAGCUCUUAUAAAAGAGAUUGAAGAGAGCUACCUAGCCCUUCCAUCUCUUCUGCCUUGUGAGGACACAGUGUUCAUCCCUUUUGUCUUCCCACCAUUUGAAGAUACAGAAAGAAGGUGCCAUCUUGGAAGCAAAGAGCAGCCCUCACCAGACACCAAGUCUGCUGGCACCUUGAUCCUGGACUGCCCAGCCUCCAGGACUGUGAGAAAUGAAUUUCUGUUGUUUAUAAAUUACCUAGUCUAAGGUAUGCUGUUAUAGUAGCAGGAAUGGACUAAGACACACAUUGUCAAAAUCUUCAUAAGUUAAAGGUGAAGGUACAAUCAGAACUGGUGCAUGGAAUUGGAACCAUAGGUCUUAGUAAACACUGUAAAAAUGCACUAUUCAAAUCUAUAGAAAAUGCUCUCUCUCCAAGUUCAGAAAGAAGUUACAAUCUGCUUUUCCUUUUUUUCUGAAGGGAAGUAAAAUUCCAUGUUUCUGGACUAAGAGAUCUACACCCCAGUCUUUCUCUUUCUGAUAUUUAUAGUAACCUUUGGCAAAUUACUCAAGCUUUCUUUGUUCUAGUGAAAAGAAAGUGCACAGGACAGUAUUACUAAGUGGCCUGAGCAACAUUAGAAGUUGAUAAUGAUGAUUCCAAAGGCCUUUAAGAAGGUGUAAUGCUACAUGGAUGUUUUUAUUGAAACCUUCCCUGGGUUUUCAGAAUUCUCUUUGGAAUUAGUCCUGUGGGAAUAUGCCUUUUGGGAUCUAUUCUCACUUCUUAUUCAGUCCCCCUUUUCUUGUGUUAAAAUCUAUAAUUUGAAGUUAUUCUGUCAUUUAAAAAUUAGGUCCAUGACCUCAUCAUCACCGGGUUUUCCUCUCCAGGCCACUUCCAGUAGAAUGUUGGUCAUAUUCCCAUAUGAGAGAACAAAUCAGUUAUUCAUUACAUCUGAUCAACGAGCUAGUACUACACCAUAAGGAAGUGUAGUAAAACCAGAAACUGGGAAACACCAGAAAAAAUUUGCUUUGUCCUCUGUUUUAAUUUGGGGUAUGUUAAAGUGCCACAGGACAUUAAUCCAGGGACUGAGAUAGACUCUUAAGUUUGGCAAUCAGUGAAAGAACUUGCUGAAUCUCUCUAGAAUUCACCUAAAGGAGCCAGCCUCUCUUCUCAUGAGAACAAUUUAUUUUAGGGUUAGUGGUGAAGUAAUUCUACAGUGUUUAAUUCCACAUAUAAACUUCAUUUUCUAUAUAAAUGUUUUGUUGUAACAUAUUCAAUUACUUUCUUUUGUUGUUUUUCUGCAACAUUCCCUUUUUCACAUUUUCUAACCUCUUAAACCAAAUAAAAAACUCACUUAUCUUCU